CCUACGGGAGGCAGCAGUGAGGACUAUUGGUCAAUGGGCGCGAGCCUGAACCAGCCAAGUAGCGUGAAGGAUGACUGCCCUACGGGUUGUAAACUUCUUUUAUAGAGGAAUAAAAUGAUGCACGUGUGGCAUUUUGUAUGUACUUUAUGAAUAAGGAUCGGCUCACUCCGUGCCAGCAGCCGCGGUAAUACGGAGGAUCCGAGCGUUAUCCGGAUUUAUUGGGGUUAAAGGGAGCGUAGAUGGGUUGUUAAGUCAGUUGUGAAAGUUUGCGGCUCAACCGUAAAAUUGCAAUUGAGACUGGCAGUCUUGAGUACAGUAGAGGUAGGCGGAAUUCGUGGUGUAGCGGUGAAAUGCUUAGAUAUCACGAAGAACUCCGAUUGCGAAGGCAGCUUACUAAGCUGCAACUGACACUGAGGCUCGAAAGUGUGGGUAUCAAACAGGAUUAGAUACCCGUGUAGUC
This 460-nucleotide ribosomal RNA is filed under the name uncultured bacterium. RNAcentral's name for it is "partial 16S ribosomal RNA". It matches the Rfam family "Bacterial small subunit ribosomal RNA", at positions 338 to 795 of the family's 1533-position model. The record is from RNAcentral.